RNAcentral lists this microRNA (22 nucleotides) under Equus caballus (horse). Its description in RNAcentral is "eca-miR-9018". Lineage: Eukaryota; Metazoa; Chordata; Mammalia; Perissodactyla; Equidae. The record is from miRBase by way of RNAcentral.
AUUUUCUGCGACUAAUUUUUCA